AGAGUUUGAUCAUGGCUCAGAUUGAACGCUGGCGGCAGGCCUAACACAUGCAAGUCGAGCGGGGACUUCGGUCCUAGCGGCGAACGGGUGAGGAAUGCUUGGGAAUCUGCCUGGUAGUGGGGGAUAACGUUCCGAAAGGAACGCUAAUACCGCAUACGUCCUACGGGAGAAAGGGGGGGAUCUUCGGACCUCUCGCUAUCAGAUGAGCCCAAGCGGGAUUAGCUAGUUGGUGAGGUAAAGGCUCACCAAGGCGACGAUCCCUAGCUGGUCUGAGAGGAUGAUCAGCCACACUGGAACUGAGACACGGUCCAGACUCCUACGGGAGGCAGCAGUGGGGAAUAUUGGACAAUGGGCGAAAGCCUGAUACAGCCAUGCCGCGUGUGUGAAGAAGGCCUUCGGGUUGUAAAGCACUUUAAGCGAGGAGGAAGGUUCGUCACCUAAUACGUGACGGAAUUGACGUUACUCGCAGAAUAAGCACCGGCUAACUCUGUGCCAGCAGCCGCGGUAAUACAGAGGGUGCAAGCGUUAAUCGGAAUUACUGGGCGUAAAGCGCGCGUAGGCGGUUGUGUAAGUUGGAUGUGAAAUCCCCGGGCUUAACCUGGGCUCUGCAUUCAAAACUGCACGGCUAGAGUAUUGGAGAGGAAGGUAGAAUUCCAGGUGUAGCGGUGAAAUGCGUAGAGAUCUGGAGGAAUACCGAUGGCGAAGGCAGCCUUCUGGCCAAAUACUGACGCUGAGGUGCGAAAGCAUGGGGAGCAAACAGGAUUAGAUACCCUGUUAGUCCAUGCCGUAAACGAUGUCAACUAGG
Molecule: ribosomal RNA, 805 nt
Filed under: uncultured Pseudomonadaceae bacterium
Lineage: Bacteria; Pseudomonadati; Pseudomonadota; Gammaproteobacteria; Pseudomonadales; Pseudomonadaceae
Description: bacterial SSU rRNA
Rfam family: Bacterial small subunit ribosomal RNA
Source: RNAcentral